UGCGAUGCGCGUGGUGAUUUGAUGCCGGAUUGCGGACCACGUUAAACAUUCCGCUAAAAGGGUGAGGGGUUUGCCCCG
Molecule: non-coding RNA, 78 nt
Filed under: Loktanella sp. 3ANDIMAR09
Lineage: Bacteria; Pseudomonadati; Pseudomonadota; Alphaproteobacteria; Rhodobacterales; Roseobacteraceae
Also listed under: 1 other name
Description: Alpha-proteobacteria SAM riboswitch aptamer
Rfam family: Alpha-proteobacteria SAM riboswitch aptamer
About the family: This family is a riboswitch found predominantly in alpha-proteobacteria that binds S-adenosyl methionine (SAM). This SAM riboswitch is located upstream of the metA and metC genes in Agrobacterium tumefaciens, and other methionine and SAM biosynthesis genes in other alpha-proteobacteria.
Source: Rfam by way of RNAcentral